GUGGGGAAUUUUGGACAAUGGGCGCAAGCCUGAUCCAGCAAUGCCGCGUGCAGGAAGAAGGCCUUCGGGUUGUAAACUGCUUUUGUACGGAACGAAACGGUCCGGGUUAAUACCCUGGGCUAAUGACGGUACCGUAAGAAUAAGCACCGGCUAACUACGUGCCAGCAGCCGCGGUAAUACGUAGGGUGCAAGCGUUAAUCGGAAUUACUGGGCGUAAAGCGUGCGCAGGCGGUUUUGUAAGACAGGCGUGAAAUCCCCGGGCUCAACCUGGGAAUUGCGCUUGUGACGGCAAGGCUGGAGUGCGGCAGAGGGGGAUGGAAUUCCGCGUGUAGCAGUGAAAUGCGUAGAUAUGCGGAGGAACACCGAUGGCGAAGGCAAUCCCCUGGGCCUGCACUGACGCUCAUGCACGAAAGCGUGGGGAGCAAACAGGAUUAGAAACCCUUGUAGUCC
This 450-nucleotide ribosomal RNA is filed under the name uncultured bacterium. Its description in RNAcentral is "partial 16S ribosomal RNA". It matches the Rfam family "Bacterial small subunit ribosomal RNA", at positions 354 to 796 of the family's 1533-position model. The record is from RNAcentral.